Long non-coding RNA from Caretta caretta (loggerhead turtle), 1585 nucleotides. RefSeq lists it as uncharacterized. The record is from RefSeq and is a predicted model, not a curated record. Lineage: Eukaryota; Metazoa; Chordata; Testudines; Cheloniidae.
CAGGAGCUGUAUCUCAGGAAACCCUGCGGUCAAAUUGCCUCGAUUAUGGAUCACUGACAGUAUCCUGGUUCCAUAAGGCACACCAAAUUUCAAGAACCCCAAAGCAAGGACUUUCGACAGUUUUAUGUCUGCAGCAACCUGCAUCAUACCCAGAUGAAUUCAGCAACAGAUAAGUUCCUCUUCUGUCUGAAACUUUACUCAGGGAUCUGAGAGAGGCCCUUGGGUCUCUGCAUAGACAAUAUUAACUAUGUAGAAGAAGAAUGAAAUGAGGCAACCUAGGCACUGCAAUAAUCUUUGCAGAUGCAUGUUAUGAAGACUCCAUCAGUUAACAGAGAAUCUUGAAAUAGAUGUUAGCCUUUUUGGAAGGAAGACCUGAAGUCUCUGAUGUACCAAGGGCAUGAAUCCCUAGAAGUCUCUGCACCUUAGGACCUUUUUAGAACUAAAGAAGACUCAGCAAUCACUGUGCAGUUCCUAGAAGUCAAGCUAGACUUCCAUGGAACCGUGGUUGGAAAGUCCCAGAUUUGUUCAGAUCCAAGGACAACAGAUUCUUUAUGAACAAAGCCUCAUCCAGUGAAAGACUUUAGAUGUGUGUCUGUCUUUUGUGAUUCUAGUCGCGAUUUUCAUGACUGCCUCCAUUUUUGGAUGCCCAACUUGGGACACCCCAUAAGUAUGACUUUCAAAAAGUGCUAAGCACCCACUCACUAAAAAUAAGGUCCCUCUAAGGGGCCUUACAGCUGGCAUCCAAAAAAAUCACCAUGCACUUUUGAAAAUUUUGGUGAAAGGCAACGGAGUGUCCAGCCAAGGAGAGAGACUCCCACAAAGAAUUCAGUGAGUGUGUUGCUCUGUCACAGUCAUUUUACGAAGGCAUGAUGGACACUUCUUAAUUCCUACUGUCUUCUUUGUGUCAGCCACGAUUCAACAGAACAGGAAGCUAACAAUUUUGCAGCCAAGAACCAAAGAUCUGAUGAGGAUAGGGACCUGAACGGUGAUAUGAUCUCAAACAAUAAACAACUGAAGAUGCAGACACUGCUGUACCUAUGCUACCACUAACAACAAGUAAACUGAAUAUACGACAAAAAAGUUUUUAAAAAAAUCUGCCUAUUAUAACAGCAAAGGCACCAGAGAGAGAGUCCUGACACCAAUGUGUAGCUGCAUUUGGAAGGUACUGAGAAGGCUUGCAUGCUUUACAUGAUUUUUAUAGUCUCUGGUUAAAAACUUACCAGUUGUUAAGUUGUGGUGUUAAUGCAUCUGACAAGCACUGCUCUUCUAGAUGGUUAUGAGCUUUGGCAUGCAAAAUAUAUCCUAGACCGAAGAUAUUCAAAGACAAGUCUGAAAAGAGUGAAAAAAACUUUCUUCUGCUCUUAAAAAAAUAUAAAUGGGUAUUCCAGUUUUUCUUCAACAGCUUACUUCAGUACUAAUAAGUAACAAGAACAUAAAAAGAUUUACUGUCUGUCCUGACUAGUAGAAAAUAAUUUAUGACCAGUUUUACAUCAGAUGAGUUCAAGAUUGGUCCCUUAACUGCAUGUUUAGAUUUUCCUUUUUAUUAACAAUUUUGUAUGUAGACAGAGCAGUUUAGCUGUGCUUU